Molecule: ribosomal RNA, 497 nt
Filed under: uncultured bacterium
Lineage: Bacteria
Description: partial 16S ribosomal RNA
Rfam family: Bacterial small subunit ribosomal RNA
Source: RNAcentral
GAUGAACGCUGGCGGCGUGCCUAAUACAUGCAAGUCGAGCGAACAGACGAGGAGCUUGCUCCUCUGACGUUAGCGGCGGACGGGUGAGUAACACGUGGAUAACCUACCUAUAAGACUGGGAUAACUUCGGGAAACCGGAGCUAAUACCGGAUAAUAUAUUGAACCGCAUGGUUCAAUAGUGAAAGACGGUUUUGCUGUCACUUAUAGAUGGAUCCGCGCCGCAUUAGCUAGUUGGUAAGGUAACGGCUUACCAAGGCAACGAUGCGUAGCCGACCUGAGAGGGUGAUCGGCCACACUGGAACUGAGACACGGUCCAGACUCCUACGGGAAGCAGCAGUAGGGAAUCUUCCGCAAUGGGCGAAAGCCUGACGGAGCAACGCCGCGUGAGUGAUGAAGGUCUUCGGAUCGGAAAACUCUGUUAUUAGGGAAGAACAAAUGUGUAAGUAACUAUGCACGUCUUGACGGUACCUAAUCAGAAAGCCACGGCUAACUACGUG